This 497-nucleotide ribosomal RNA is filed under the name uncultured bacterium. RNAcentral describes it as "partial 16S ribosomal RNA". It matches the Rfam family "Bacterial small subunit ribosomal RNA", at positions 28 to 507 of the family's 1533-position model. The record is from RNAcentral.
GGUGAACGCUGGCGGCGUGCCUAAUACAUGCAAGUCGAGCGAACGGACGAGAAGCUUGCUUCUCUGAUGUUAGCGGCGGACGGGUGAGUAACACGUGGAUAACCUACCUAUAAGACUGGGAUAACUUCGGGAAACCGUAGCUAAUACCGGAUAAUAUUUUGAACCGCAUGGUUCAAAAGUGAAAGACGGUCUUGCUGUCACUUAUAGAUGGAUCCGCGCUGCAUUAGCUAGUUGGUAAGGUAACGGCUUACCAAGGCAACGAUGCAUAGCCGACCUGAGAGGGUGAUCGGGCACACUGGAACUGAGACACGGUCCAGACUCCUACGGGAGGCAGCAGUAGGGAAUCUUCCGCAAUGGGCGAAAGCCUGACGGAGCAACGCCGCGUGAGUGAUGAAGGUCUUCGGAUCGUAAAACUCUGUUAUUAGGGAAGAACAUAUGUGUAAGUAACUGUGCACAUCUUGACGGUACCUAAUCAGAAAGCCACGGCUAACUACGUG